UUAGCACUCCCCUUGAGAAGGAUGGAAAGGUUCUAGUGGUCUUUACAACACAUAUAUGGUUAAGGCAUUUCCAUCUACUUUGUGGCAUCUAACCAAGUUUUCUG
Molecule: non-coding RNA, 104 nt
Filed under: Ornithorhynchus anatinus (platypus)
Lineage: Eukaryota; Metazoa; Chordata; Mammalia; Monotremata; Ornithorhynchidae
Source: RNAcentral